This 355-nucleotide unclassified non-coding RNA is filed under the name soil metagenome. RNAcentral describes it as "partial contains 5.8S ribosomal RNA, internal transcribed spacer 2, and large subunit ribosomal RNA". The stretch from base 1 to 120 matches the Rfam family "5.8S ribosomal RNA", at positions 35 to 154 of the family's 154-position model. The record is from RNAcentral.
GAUGAAGAACGUAGCGAAAUGCGAUAAGUAAUGUGAAUUGCAGAAUUCAGUGAAUCAUCGAAUCUUUGAACGCACAUUGCGCCCAUUAGUAUUCUAGUGGGCAUGCCUGUUCGAGCGUCAUUAAGUCCACUUAAGCCCUGCUUAGUGUUGGGAGACUGCUCCAGCGGUGCUACCCUGUAGCUACCCUGCAGCUCCUCAAAGACAGCGGCGGAGUUGUGGUAUCCUCUGAGCUUAGUAACUUGUUCUAGCUUCCGAGUACACCACUUCCCCUGCCGUAAAACCCUUAAUUUUUAAUGGUUGACCUCGGAUCAGGUAGGAAUACCCGCUGAACUUAAGCAUAUCAAUAAGCGGAGGA